UACGGGGGGGGCAAGCGUUGUUCGGAGUUACUGGGCGUAAAGGGCUCGUAGGCGGCCAACUAAGUCGGAUGUGAAAUCCCCAGGCUUAACCUGGGAACUGCGUCCGAUACUGGCAGGCUUGAAUCCGGGAGAGGGAUGCGGAAUUCCAGGUGUAGCGGUGAAAUGCGUAGAUAUCUGGAGGAACACCGGUGGCGAAGGCGGCAUCCUGGACCGGCAUUGACGCUGAGGCGCGAAAGCCAGGGGAGCAAACGGG
RNAcentral lists this ribosomal RNA (253 nucleotides) under uncultured bacterium. RNAcentral's name for it is "partial 16S ribosomal RNA". It matches the Rfam family "Bacterial small subunit ribosomal RNA", at positions 524 to 776 of the family's 1533-position model. The record is from RNAcentral.